GUGGGGAAUAUUGGGCAAUGGGCGCAAGCCUGACCCAGCAACGCCGCGUGAAGGAAGAAGGCUUUCGGGUUGUAAACUUCUUUUACCAGGGACGAAACAAAUGACGGUACCUGGUGAAUAAGCCACGGCUAACUACGUGCCAGCAGCCGCGGUAAUACGUAGGUGGCGAGCGUUAUCCGGAUUUAUUGGGUGUAAAGGGCGUGUAGGCGGGACAGCAAGUCAGAUGUGAAAACCAGAGGCUCAACCUCUGGCCUGCAUUUGAAACUGUUGUUCUUGAGUGUCGGAGAGGUAAUCGGAAUUCCGUGUGUAGCGGUGAAAUGCGUAGAUAUACGGAGGAACACCAGUGGCGAAGGCGGAUUACUGGACGAUAACUGACGCUGAGGCGCGAAAGCGUGGGGAGCAAACAGGAUUAGAUACCCCUGUAGUCC
RNAcentral lists this ribosomal RNA (428 nucleotides) under uncultured bacterium. Its description in RNAcentral is "partial 16S ribosomal RNA". It matches the Rfam family "Bacterial small subunit ribosomal RNA", at positions 354 to 796 of the family's 1533-position model. The record is from RNAcentral.